This 554-nucleotide long non-coding RNA is filed under the name Mytilus galloprovincialis (Mediterranean mussel). Lineage: Eukaryota; Metazoa; Mollusca; Bivalvia; Mytilida; Mytilidae. The record is from RNAcentral.
UUGCAAUCUGUCUACAUACGCUAAAUAAUAACUUAUAUUAAUGACAAAUCUACUUGACCUACUAUUCACAUAACACAUAUAUAUAUAUAUUAUACAGUUAAAAUUAAUAAAAAUGCUUGACACGUACACUGGCUUCUUACACGAGUGACAAUCUUUGCAAAAAUGAAACAGCUAUAUUUGACAGUCACGCACAUUGUUCAAACGUGGUAUGAAGGCCAGAUGAAGGACGCCUUCGGGUGCGGGAGUUUCUCACUUAAUUGAAGACCUAUCGGUGACCUUCUGUUAUUGUCUGUUCUAUGGUCGGGUUGUGGUCUCUUUUACACAUUCCCCAUUCUCAUUCUCAAUUUUACUAAACAGUUUGAUCUAGUGACAAAGUCACCGUUCACACUGUCUACAUACAAGAAUUAAAAACGUAAUAUAAUGACUAAAGCUACAUGACUCAUUGUCGUCACACAUGUAAUAAAUUCCUUAACACAAGCCUCGGUCACACCUUAUCGGAUAGCUCGAACGGACGCCUAACGGAUAACUUUGUUUCAAUCCGUUCAUGUCCGUUA